This 493-nucleotide ribosomal RNA is filed under the name uncultured bacterium. RNAcentral's name for it is "partial 16S ribosomal RNA". It matches the Rfam family "Bacterial small subunit ribosomal RNA", at positions 29 to 507 of the family's 1533-position model. The record is from RNAcentral.
AACGAACGCUGGCGGCGCGUCUUACACAUGCAAGUCGAGCGGCAGGAAGGGGCUUGCCCCUUCUGAGAGUGGCGGACUGGUGAGUAACACGUGGGUGACAUACCUUUUAGUUGGGGAUAGCUAUUAGAAAUAGUAGGUAAUACCGAAUGUGACCGUACCUGUUAGAGGGGUACGAGGAAAGGAGCUAAGGCUUCGCUAAAAGAAUGGCUCGCGGCCCAUUAUGCUCGUUGGUGAGGUAACGGCCCACCAAGGCGAUGAUGGGUAUCCGGCCUGAGAGGGUGAACGGACACAUUGGGACUGAGAUACGGCCCAGACUUCUACGGGAGGCAGCAGUUAAGAAUAUUCCGCAAUGGACGAAAGUCUGACGGAGCGACGCCGCGUGGAUGAAGAAUGCCGAAAGGUUGUAAAAUCCUUUUAAGCCUGAUGAAGAAGCACAGUAGGGAAUGAUGGUGCGGUGACCGUAGGGCUUGAAUAAGCACCGGCUAAUUACGUG